ACCUCAUUUCCCAUCCGUCAAGUUAUAAAUCUUCUGGAUUCCCGCCAAUACCUCCUCAAAAUCAAUUUUCAGAUCCGUCAACAGGCCAUCUUUAAAAUCAAACACCCAGCCAUGCACAACGGGAUACGCAUUUUCCGAAAAGCUCUUCUGCACGGCUGCCGUUUUAAUGAUGUUCCGACACUGCUCAAUUACAUUCAGCUCUACAAGUCUAUCACAGCGCUUGCUGUCUUCAAUUGCAUCUAGCUCUGCCUCGUGGAGCCUGUAGACGUCGCGGAUAUUUCGCAGCCAGGGGUUUAGCAGACCCAAAUCUGCCGGCGUCAAAGCGGCUUUGACACCGCCGCAUCCGUAAUGGCCGCAGACAAUGAUAUGUUUGACGUGCAGAUGCCGCACCGCAUAGUUGAUCACGCUCAUCACGUUCAGAUCCGUAUUGCAGACCAAAUUGGCAAUGUUGCGGUGGAUGAAAGCUUCACCGGGGCCCAAGCCUGUGAUUUGCUCGGCAGGGAUGCGGCUGUCGCUGCAGCCAAUCCAUAGGUAGUCUGGAUUCUGGCCAGUCUGGAGCUUCUCGAAGAAAUGCGGGUCCUUCGCGGCCUUUUCCGCUGCCCAUUUCUUGUUGUUCUCGAAGAUGCGUUCGUGAGAUUGCUUGAGAUACUUGGAGACCUCGGUAGGCGCCAUGAAGUUUAUUGUCCGGUGGGUUGCACAGGGGUGAGUGAGAAACGAAUUAGGUUUACCAAAAUGAAGGUUCCGGCGCCAGCGAAGGUUGGGGUUGAGAAUGGUUCGUGUACUUGUGGGGGCGACUGCACAAUGGACCCGAAGACCUGAUAACUUGGAUAAAUGGCGCCGCUGAAACAUUUAUUUGAGGAGGAUGAAGGGCUAAGUGAAUUAGACCUCGAAAAAUUGGCAUUCGCAGAAGUGAGGGGAAAAGGCAAAAGAGAAAACGGAGCGUUUUUGAUUUUUGAUGUUGGUUGGGCCGUCGAAAACGGCAAAGCGCGGCACAUGAUCUUGUGCUGGUGAUGAUGUCAUCAUAACCAGACUCCCUAUUUGACUACUGACUGCGUAGUUAGGUAAAACGGAGGAGG
Molecule: small RNA, 1076 nt
Filed under: Histoplasma capsulatum
Lineage: Eukaryota; Fungi; Ascomycota; Eurotiomycetes; Onygenales; Ajellomycetaceae
Also listed under: 1 other name
Description: hypothetical RNA
Source: RNAcentral